This 152-nucleotide ribosomal RNA is filed under the name Phakopsora meibomiae. Its description in RNAcentral is "5.8S ribosomal RNA". It matches the Rfam family "5.8S ribosomal RNA". From Rfam's summary of the family: 5.8S ribosomal RNA (5.8S rRNA) is a component of the large subunit of the eukaryotic ribosome. The record is from RNAcentral. Lineage: Eukaryota; Fungi; Basidiomycota; Pucciniomycetes; Pucciniales; Phakopsoraceae.
ACUUUUAGCAAUGGAUCUCUAGGCUCAUAUCGAUGAAGAACACAGUGAAAUGUGAUAAUUAAUGUGAAUUGCAGAAUUCAGUGAAUCAUCAAGUUUUUGAACGCACCUUGCACCUUUUGGUAUUCCAAAAGGUACACCUGUUUGAGUGUCAU